Molecule: unclassified non-coding RNA, 1061 nt
Filed under: Hevea brasiliensis (rubber tree)
Lineage: Eukaryota; Viridiplantae; Streptophyta; Magnoliopsida; Malpighiales; Euphorbiaceae
Source: RNAcentral
AGCCAGGCUAAAAACAGCAGCCACUGUCAGAGGAUAGAAGAAAUCAACAGUAAAUUAGAUUAGCAAACUGCCCUUAGCAGAAGGAUUGCAAAAGAAACCUUUAAUUGCUGCACCUAUUUCUUGUUAAUAGAAUUAAUAAUUCUGUAGGAAAUGAACCCAAAAAGGAUUUGAAGGAGAGAAAAUAAAGGUAGAACAAUGUCAGAAACUUCUCAACCUCAAUUCCCAUACUAAAAACGAAAAAAUGCAAAUAAUUGUACCAUUUUAAAUUUGAAAUUAAAGAAGCACAGAAAAAGCAAGCUGAAAGGCAAAUGCCACCUUUAGAAACACAUUCUCAUUUGAGCUUUAACCUAAAUAAGUAUACCAAGUCUACUGACAUCAUUUCAAUUUUUUCCCUAGAUAUUUAACAUAAUUAACCAUACAUCAUAGCUACAUCCAAUCUUAAACUAUAAAUACUGGUUGCACAAAUAUUUAUCUCACAGUGGUAGUGAGACUAAAUUCAUUAAAAAAAAAUAAAUAAGGGAUUAAUGACUAGGGGUGUAAAUGAAUUAAACUAUUCAUGAGAUGCUUGAGGCUCAGCUCGAUAAAAGCUCGGCUUAGUACGGCUCAUUUUCUAAACGGGCUAAGCUCAAGCUCAAAUUUUAGACUCGUUUGAUAAAUGAGAGCUUAUAAGCUUAGGAGCUAGCUCGCUAAAUAGGCUCGAAUUUUUAUUUAUGGUGUUGUUUAUUGCGUUCUAAAAAUUAUUGUGAUUUGGAAAUAGGCAUUGUAAAAGUCUUAAGUCGAGCUCAAGCUUAACAUAAAUGCUUAAAACAAACCAACCUCGAACUGAACUCGAAUUUAAUAAAUUUUAAAUAAGCCGAGCUCGAGCUUUGAUAUUAAAGCUUGAAUAGAGCUCAAGCCGAGCUCGAGCUUUAUAUAUUUUUGACGAGCUGAGUCUUAGCUAGUCAAAGCUCAGCUUGGCUUGCUUACACCCCUACUCAUGACAAGAUAUCAUAAAAAUUGAAGUGCAAGGAAAAGAAAAGACACCAUAAUUAAAAUGAAUAAAAUUACUCACCGAGCUUUUG